AUGUGUGCAUGUAUGUGUGUGCAUGCGCCUUGUGCGCCUGUGUGUGUGUUCUCCUAGGCCUGAGUCACUUAAUUGGAAGCACUCCCCGCACUGCCUUGGACUCCUCCAGCUCCGUCAGCAGACGACAUCAGGAAUUACAGUGUUUGGCACCUGGCAACUGAGUCACUAGCGGCAGCGGGAGCCGUCCCAGCAGCUCCGUGACAGCAGCGGCCCACUCUUAGCCACACUGUGUGUAGGCAGCCCAGCCCUGGGGCUGCCCGGGGCAGCUUCCAGGGGAGGCGGAACCGCUUCUAGCGGCAAAGCAAGCAAGGGGCUGCGUGUGAGCCCAAAAGCAGAGCAGACAACAUGACCCUCCCAGAAGUGCGUUCUUCCCGAGAGCACUAACCGACCACGUGUCUCUCUCCUGCGAGCUGUCUGGUAGACAGCAGGGGUUCCAAGCGUGAUGCCUACCUGGGCCUAGCACCUGGGGAAUCCCCAAAGGAGAACUCGUUCUUCUGUGGGCCCUUUGGUCAUGGGAGCACAUAAAACCCGCCAGUGGCUGGAUGGUACCCAGGACUGUGGUCUGCACACUCUGCUCGUCAAGAGGGGUUCUCUGCUGUGAGAGGCGUGACCAGAGAAGGUUCCUCGAGUCUGAACGCCCCGGGAGAGGGCAGGCGCCUCUCCCACAGCCUCAGCCUCCUGCACCUGCCCUUCCUGCAGCCAAGUCUCAACGAGAAGGCACAUGCUGGUGACGGGCGUGGACAAGGAUGGAGAGACAGAUUUCCUCAUCCCCCUGAAACACGUUCAAAGCGCCAGGCCGCUCUGCAGACAAGAACGAGAGACCUCGUCACUCCUGUGGUCCGGAGAGCCUUCCUGCUGAGGCGCUAGAUGGCUGAGGGCUUGGCUGGGCCUUGGAAAUAACAGACCACAGUACCCGAGACAGUGGUGAGCCCUGAGGCUUCGGUGAGGUGUGUGGUGAGGUGGCCACAGGCGGGUCAGGCAGCCAAGGAGGAGAGACUGCAGGUGCCCUUGAAGAAACACUGUUAUCCGAGAAAGGAUUCUUGCAGCCAAAAGGGAGGGGCGUUCGGGUACCCAGGGGCGGAGAUGAAAAAUACAGUAACUCUUUCUUGGGGGUAUAAUCUCUCAUUUGAAGAAGCGGUGCAGUGUGACAUUGUUCCUUUGACGUACCAACUGACAAUUCUGGAUAAGGGGGAUCGCAAAGCGGCAGCUCUGUGUGACCUUGGGAUGGACAUGAAGAGGAAUGUCUGUACUGGGUCCGUCAGCUAUUGGGAAAGGGCCAGGGAAUUCACGGGAGAAUAAUGAGGGAAGCGCUACUGGGAAGACUCUGGGUGUUUCUGAAGCCUUGAAUCAAAUCAAAACCGAUGGUGGUGAAUAUUCUGUAUCUCACUGCUGCUGCUAACUCUAGGCAGCUCUGCAACCUUGGGGAGAAACCUCCAAAGCAAGAGGGAACCCUUUCCUACCCCGAGUCUGGAUGUGCUGCCCCCUGGUCCAUCCCUGUUCUGUCCGUGCCUCUUCCAGGCGGCACCAACAUGAUGGCGGCUUGUCUAGGCUGCUGCGUUCAACUUAAGCUACACGGAGAGACAGAGGUGUGCAUUCGGGACAGGUGUCCCUGAGAGAGUCCACAGCCCCCGCUAGGACUUAGGGGCCCCAGAAGGCCCUGAAGUUGUAUACAAAGCAGAGUAGGUAUGCAGAUGCGUGUUCUUCAAGGGAGGAGGGCUGCAUAGCUUUCAUUAAGUUUGAAGAAAAAGCUCUGAUAAAGUUAUAAAGGGAAAUUCAGAGUAACAUGGUUGCACAUAAUGACCGGGUACACAUGUAACUUAGGGCAUAAGGAAUGCAGACAAGUAACGACUCUGUUCAGGAUACUUAGUGCUAUUUGGGGGCAGCUGAGACACUGGGCAUGAGGUGGCCAGGGAGCCCGCAUGCCUGGCACGUGUGGUCAGGGCUGGGUACCCAUCUCAGCCAUUUUUAAUUAUCACUACUUUUUUAGGGUCUAGUAACAGAAGAAAUGCAAUUUAAAGGCUCUCCCAAUGGGCUUAGUUCAUCCUGGAAAAGACCACAGACAUAUAUAGACAAAUGUGCAAAUACAUUAAAGGAGCAAUUAGUCACUAAUGCAGAAGCCAGACAGAUGGAAUGACAGCAAAUUAAGCA
Myotis brandtii (Brandt's bat) is the source of this 2148-nucleotide long non-coding RNA. RefSeq lists it as uncharacterized. Lineage: Eukaryota; Metazoa; Chordata; Mammalia; Chiroptera; Vespertilionidae. The transcript is spliced from 3 exons. The record is from RefSeq and is a predicted model, not a curated record.